UACGGAGGGUGCAAGCGUUAUCCGGAUUCACUGGGCUUAAAGCGUGUGUAGGCGGACUUCUAAGUACCUUGUGAAAUCCCACGGCUCACCCGUGGAACUGCUUGGUAUACUGGUUGUCUUGAGCCUUCUAGGGGCGAGUGGAACAAAUGGUGGAGCGGUGAAAUGCGUAGAUAUCAUUUGGAACGCCAAUGGUGAAAACAACUCGCUGGGGAAGUGCUGACGCUGAGACACGAAAGCCAGGGGAGCGAACGGG
RNAcentral lists this ribosomal RNA (253 nucleotides) under uncultured bacterium. Its description in RNAcentral is "partial 16S ribosomal RNA". It matches the Rfam family "Bacterial small subunit ribosomal RNA", at positions 524 to 776 of the family's 1533-position model. The record is from RNAcentral.